UACGUAGGGUGCAAGCGUUGUCCGGAAUUAUUGGGCGUAAAGAGCUCGUAGGCGGUUUGUCGCGUCUGCUGUGAAAACUCGGGGCUUAACCCUGGGCCUGCAGUCGAUACGGGCGGGCUAGAGUUCGGUAGGGGAGACUGGAAUUCCUGGUGUAGCGGUGAAAUGCGCAGAGAUCCGGAGGAACACCAGUGGCGAAGGCGACACGCUGGGCCGUACCUGACACUGAUGCGCGACAGCAUGGGGAGCAAACAGG
Molecule: ribosomal RNA, 253 nt
Filed under: uncultured bacterium
Lineage: Bacteria
Description: partial 16S ribosomal RNA
Rfam family: Bacterial small subunit ribosomal RNA
Source: RNAcentral